GCCCAGACUCCUACGGGAGGCAGCAGUGGGGAAUAUUGCACAAUGGGGGAAACCCUGAUGCAGCGACGCCGCGUGAGUGAAGAAGUAUUUCGGUACGUAAAGCUCUAUCAGCAGGGAAGAAAAUGACGGUACCUGACUAAGAAGCCCCGGCUAACUACGUGCCAGCAGCCGCGGUAAUACGUAGGGGGCAAGCGUUAUCCGGAUUUACUGGGUGUAAAGGGAGCGUAGACGGCAGCGCAAGUCUGGAGUGAAAUCCCAUGGCUUAACCAUGGAACUGCUUUGGAAACUGUGCAGCUGGAGUGCAGGAGAGGUAAGCGGAAUUCCUAGUGUAGCGGUGAAAUGCGUAGAUAUUAGGAAGAACACCAGUGGCGAAGGCGGCUUUCUGGACUGAAACUGACGCUGAGGCACGAAAGCGUGGGGAGCGAACAGGAUUAGAUACCCGCGUAUC
Molecule: ribosomal RNA, 448 nt
Filed under: uncultured bacterium
Lineage: Bacteria
Description: bacterial SSU rRNA
Rfam family: Bacterial small subunit ribosomal RNA
Source: RNAcentral